Molecule: small nuclear RNA, 23 nt
Filed under: Arabidopsis thaliana (thale cress)
Lineage: Eukaryota; Viridiplantae; Streptophyta; Magnoliopsida; Brassicales; Brassicaceae
Description: snRNA_13450
Source: RNAcentral
ACCCGCUGAGUUUAAGCAUAUCA